GAUGAACGCUGGCGGCGUGCCUAAUACAUGCAAGUCGAGCGAACAGACGAGGAGCUUGCUCCUCUGACGUUAGCGGCGGACGGGUGAGUAACACGUGGAUAACCUACCUAUAAGACUGGGAUAACUUCGGGAAACCGGAGCUAAUACCGGAUAAUAUAUUGAACCGCAUGGUUCAAUAGUGAAAGACGGUUUUGCUGUCACUUAUAGAUGGAUCCGCGCCGCAUUAGCUAGUUGGUAAGGUAACGGCUUACCAAGGCGACGAUGCGUAGCCGACCUGAGAGGGUGAACGGCCACACUGGAACUGAGACACGGUCCAGACUCCUACGGGAGGCAGCAGUAGGGAAUCUUCCGCAAUGGGCGAAAGCCUGACGGAGCAACGCCGCGUGAGUGAUGAAGGUCUUCGGAUCGUAAAACUCUGUUAUUAGGGAAGAACAAAUGUGUAAGUAACUAUGCACGUCUUGACGGUACCUAAUCAGAGAGCCACGGCUAACUACGUG
Molecule: ribosomal RNA, 497 nt
Filed under: uncultured bacterium
Lineage: Bacteria
Description: partial 16S ribosomal RNA
Rfam family: Bacterial small subunit ribosomal RNA
Source: RNAcentral